UUCCCCGUAGCUCAGUUGGUAGAGCAUGGUGUUUGCAAUGCCAGGGUUGUGGGUUCGAUUCCCACGGGGGGCU
Molecule: transfer RNA, 73 nt
Filed under: Salmo salar (Atlantic salmon)
Lineage: Eukaryota; Metazoa; Chordata; Actinopteri; Salmoniformes; Salmonidae
Rfam family: tRNA
About the family: Transfer RNA (tRNA) molecules are approximately 80 nucleotides in length.
Source: Rfam by way of RNAcentral